Molecule: long non-coding RNA, 2207 nt
Filed under: Pelobates cultripes (western spadefoot toad)
Lineage: Eukaryota; Metazoa; Chordata; Amphibia; Anura; Pelobatidae
Source: RNAcentral
CCCGGCAAUAAAGUGAGUGCUUCCCUAUAAGAGGCAUUCUAUUGGCUGAUCACCACAUUCGAUUGGCACUUUAAAGUCUCUUCCAGAAUGUAUCAAAACUACAUUGUAUCUUCCUAUUAAUACAUUAUUACUUGUGCAUUAGCAAUGCCAUCAUUACUUGUGAAUUAGCAGUGCCAUCUAGUGGUCUUGCGAAAAAAAGUAAGUUGGGGAUAAACAAAGGAGAUCCAUUUUUACCAAAUAAAAUCUUCUAAAAUUGAAAAUUCGAAAUAUAAACUUACUAAGUUAUACAGUGCUUCCUUAGCAUGUUUUGUUCAUUAAUUUAGCAAGAAGUAGCAUUAUGAAAUGCAACUCUCAAAGGAAACUGCAGAGAGGCUAUUUCUGGCAGAGAGACUUGUAGUAGAAGAGGUAGAAGGAUGAUAAUGUUUUGCAGGGUAUAAAUGAUUCUCGUUAAAUCAAGACUUAGCUAAAUCCUACAAUCAAGGUGUUGGAGCAGAGUGGCCCCAAAGUUGUCUUGUUAUUUCAUCAAGAUGGACAAUAGUUGGUUUAGGGAACACAUUAAGAAUGCAACAAAACAAGCACACACCAUGCAUGCCACAAAAUACAGGCUCUCCAGGGUUCGGUGUAAUACUAAAGUACAAUGAUUUAUAUGGGAACAUCACAGACACAUCUUAAAUUUAAAAAAAUAAAUAAAUACUCGGCUCAUGUCUUUGAAGUAUGGUUAGGAUCUUAAUACCUGAAAUGUAAAGCCUUCUUUUACAUACUAAAACAAACACUUCCAUUCUUCCCUUAUAAACUUACCUGCCAGCAGUCUACUGCUCCAGGAUUUCCAUUUGUUUGAUAACACAUUAAGCAUGGUUCCCCAAAUUGUCUACUCACAGUGCUCUAAAUGGCUAAAUCAAUUCAGGGAUUUAAAUUCCAAGUCCUACACUACUAGCCAGGCAAUAAAGGUUACUCACCACUACAAACCUGGAGGGUCUAUGGACACUCAUCACAGGUCAAUUUCUACUAUCUAUGGCUAACUUUUCAUUUGGUUUUGCUGAGUGGAAUUUGUGAGUCCGGAUAAUAUAAGAUUAUUUUACCAAGAAAGGUACAUUGGUUUGUCACCGGUUUUCAAGCACCUUAUGUGGUCUAUAUGUUAUCAUCACCAAACUUAUUACUUGUAUAAAGUUCAAAAGAAUGGACGGGGGAGUUGAUUUUGGAGUUAAUCACAAACUGAGAUUAAUCACGUAUACUCUACUGACAGAGGUAGCUGAGCUGAUUUGUAGACAGACAAUAAGAGUCCAAAAGCAAUUCCCAGAAUUCAUCACCUCUCCAGUUAGCAGGGACUGGGAUCUUCAGUGUGAAAUUAAAGAUCCUCUCAUGGUGAUUAUGGUUCAGUAAAUUAUCACAGAGUGAAUGAGGAUGCGCUCUGCAGUAAGAGGAAAGAAAAGUUAAUUCUCAGCUAUCUUCAACAGCAGACACAUGAUAACAUUACCAAUAUUACUGAGGAUCAACAAAUUAAUCAAUACAAUGUGGCAAAACUAAUUAUUUAAAAUUCACAUUAUCCCAUAAAACACACUCAUGGGCUGCAGGACCCCUUAUCAAUCAUCUCUGGGAUUAAAUGGGAACCAUCAUUUGUCUGGAAAUUACAUCAUACAAUAAAACAUUGACAAUUACAUAUAAUUUGUGUUAAUCUGUUUUUCAUGCGGUGCUCCAUUUAUUUUAAAUGUAUAUUGUUUGGGCAGAUGAUGUCACAAUCCAGCAAACUGCAUGGACACACAUUGGAUGAGGAGAGACAUAACGGAUAGGGUUGUGGGUCGCUUUCACACGUAUUGGCUUCGCAUGUGCUUUUACCUUCAGAAUAAAAACAUUACUCCGUCUUAUAUAUAUAUAUAUUGAAGCCUUUUCCUACCUGUGUAUCCAAAAGCGGCGGAAUCACUUAUUGGAAAGAGAAGUCACAUAUUUUGCAUUAAAAACAACAAAUCUGCGAACAAAAGAAAGAGACAAAAUAAAGCAGAAAAGGGUCCAUGAAAACAAUGUCACAGUAAGAAAUGUUUUGGUGGAAAUAAGGAAAUAAACCGGAGCGGAGAGAUAAAGUGCCAGAUAACCAACAUUAAAAGGAGAACAUAGCACAUUGUAUAUGAAAAAUAAAAUGAGUUAAAUAUGUGUCACUAUAGAGAGAGUGGGGUGGGUCCCAGAGCCCAGGGGUUAUUCAUACAGUGUGGGGG